Molecule: ribosomal RNA, 464 nt
Filed under: uncultured bacterium
Lineage: Bacteria
Description: partial 16S ribosomal RNA
Rfam family: Bacterial small subunit ribosomal RNA
Source: RNAcentral
ACGAACGCUGGCGGCGUGCUUAACCCAAGCCAGGCGGACGGAAAGGCCCCUUUGGGGGUGCUCGAGUGGCGAGCGGGUGAGGAACACGUGAGUAACCUGCCCUUGACUUCGGGAUAACUUCAGGUAACUGGGGCUAAUACCGGAUAGGAAUCCUUGCUGCAUGGUGGGGGUUGGAAAGCAUCGUGGGUUUUGGAUGGACUCGCGGCGCAUCGGCUUGGUUGGGGGGUAGGGGCUUACCAAGGCAUUGACGGGUAGCCGGCCUGGGAGGGGGACCGGCCCACUUGGGACCUGGAUACGGCCCAGGCUCCUACGGGGGGCAGCAGGGGGGAAUAUUGCCCCAUGGGCGGGAGCCUGGUGCAGGAACCCCGCGGGCGGGAUGACCGCCUUCGGGUUGUAAACCGCCUUCAGCAGGGGAGAAGCCUGUGGUGACGGUACCUGCAGAAGAAGCACCGGCUAACUACGUG